Molecule: ribosomal RNA, 286 nt
Filed under: Karenia brevis
Lineage: Eukaryota; Dinophyceae; Gymnodiniales; Kareniaceae
Description: partial Eukaryotic large subunit ribosomal RNA
Rfam family: Eukaryotic large subunit ribosomal RNA
Source: RNAcentral
UCCAAGUGGGCCAUUUUUGGUAAGCAGAACUGGCGAUGCGGGAUGAACCGAACGCGAGGUUAAGGUGCCGGAAUGCACGCUCAUCAGACACCACAAAAGAUGUCAGUUCAUCUAGACAGCCGGACGGUGGCCAUGGAAGUCGGAAUCCGCUAAGGAGUGUGUAACAACUCACCUGCCGAAUGAAUUAGCCCUGAAAAUGGAUGGCGCUGAAGCGGAUCACUUAUACUCGACCAACAGGGCAAAUGCGAAGCCCUGUUGAGUAGGAGGGCGUGGAGGUUGUUGUGCA